This 453-nucleotide ribosomal RNA is filed under the name uncultured bacterium. Its description in RNAcentral is "bacterial SSU rRNA". It matches the Rfam family "Bacterial small subunit ribosomal RNA", at positions 28 to 523 of the family's 1533-position model. The record is from RNAcentral.
GAUGAACGCUGGCGAGAUGCUUUACACAUGCAAGUCGUACGAGAGUUUUUAACUCAAGUGGCGGACGGGUGAGUAACACGUAAGAAUUUACCUUUAGGAGGGGGAAAGUUAUUGUAGUGACUAGUAAUACCCCAUAUGCUUUCGAGUGAAAUGGAAUUUUCCGCCUAGAGAGAAGCUUGCGGCUGAUUAGCUUGUUGGUGAGGUAAUGGCUUACCAAGGCGACGAUCAGUAGCUGGUCUGAGAGGAUGAGCAGCCACACUGGGACUGAGACACGGCCCAGACUCCUACGGGAGGCAGCAGUGGGGAAUUUUCCGCAAUGGGCGAAAGCCUGACGGAGCAAGACCGCGUGGGGGAGGAAGGUUUUUGGAUCGUAAACCCCUUUUGUCAAGGAAGAAGCUCUGACGGUACUUGACGAAUAAGCCUCGGCUAACUCCGUGCCAGCCGCCGCGGUAA